RNAcentral lists this transfer RNA (74 nucleotides) under Candidatus Gottesmanbacteria bacterium RIFCSPHIGHO2_01_FULL_42_12. RNAcentral describes it as "tRNA-Trp". It matches the Rfam family "tRNA". From Rfam's summary of the family: Transfer RNA (tRNA) molecules are approximately 80 nucleotides in length. Their secondary structure includes four short double-helical elements and three loops (D, anti-codon, and T loops). Lineage: Bacteria; Candidatus Gottesmaniibacteriota. The record is from RNAcentral.
AGGGCCAUAGUUCAAUGGCAGAAUAGAGGUCUCCAAAACCUUUGAUAGUGGUUCGACUCCACUUGGCCCUGCUA